UCCCCAUCCAUCCUCCUGCCCGCCGCCACCUGCCUGCCUUCUCUUUCCUCGGGAUCUCACCCGAUCCAAUCCACCAACCAGCGCUCCCCCAUGGCCCUCCUCGAUCCUCAUCACUCGCAGCCUCCAACACCCAUCGACCAAUCCAGCCGAGGGCCUCGUCCCCGAGCCGACCUCCAUGGAAGAGGUGCAGCGCUCCGCCCCUCUCUGCCUUGCGUCGGAGCACCUGCCGCAUCGAGCGCCCGCAGCUCCAUUCCCAUGAAAUGAAAGGGGCUCGCCCUUGAUGUCGUGGCCGCCGGCGACCGAAGCCGCCGUGUGUCCUCUCCUUCCCGUCCCUGCCGUCCCCGUCGGGGUUGACCUCCAGCGCCGCCAAGCCAAGUCCCUCGUCUUGCCUCCCUUCAUUCCCAGCUACCCCAGCGACCCUGCGUCCCUGACAUAGCCCGCGCCAAGUCCUCGCAAGCCGCCGCCCGGAGCAGGCCGCCUCCUCACCUCGUCCGCAUCGCCGGGAUCGCGUCAAGUUCACCACCGUCGCCCAAGUCCCUCGCCUCGCCGCCCCUUCGCCCUGCUCGCUGCAACCUUGCGCGUCUGCAACUAUGCGGGGCAUCGCUCCCGAGCGCAUUGGCCACGCCCUUCCCCAGCGGCCUCGCUCAGCCUUUGCCUCGAUUCGGCCGAGCGCCGCUGCCUCCCCUGCCGACUUGAACCCCGCCGGAUCCGGUGACCCUUGCCGCCGCCGUCGCCAAGAACCUCGCCGGAGAACCAUGUCCCGCUUCUGGAACCGCUCAUCUCCGUCGCCUGCCGCCGCUCUGAACCUGCGCCUCCGCAGUCUCUACAUCCCGUGUGCGUGCGAGCCAAAGCCUGUGGCCGCGCGAGGGCCGCAUCGCAUUGACUGAGGCCCAGCAACGUUCUUCAUUCCCCAGGCCGACCCUUCUUCUUCAAUCGGGCCAAGGCCCAUGUUGAGGCAAACCCCCCAGUUAGUUUUUUUCCCUUCCUUUGGCCCAGCUAGUUUCGGCCCAUGUAUGUUUUUUUUCACUGCCUGGUUUUUUGCUAAUUAA
Triticum aestivum (bread wheat) is the source of this 1049-nucleotide long non-coding RNA. RefSeq lists it as uncharacterized. Lineage: Eukaryota; Viridiplantae; Streptophyta; Magnoliopsida; Poales; Poaceae. The record is from RefSeq and is a predicted model, not a curated record. The transcript is spliced from 2 exons.